CGCGGAUGGAACACUGAAGCGGACAGGCCAGGCGGGGAGCGAGGCCUGGCGUCGGGUGGGCGGCGGCUGCACUCUUACCUGGCCAGAUGAGGGAACCAAGACCCUGAGAGGUGAAGUCAUUUGCCUUUGAUGACACAGGAAGUCAGCCAGGGGCUGGGAUUCGUGCCCAGGCUCGUCAAGUGAAGCAAUGAGAGUGGAGAAGGAACAAAGCAAUCUGUAACUAGUUGUGAUCAAUUACUUGUAAACACAAUUGUUUUUUUCAUUUUAGUGUGCCAUUUAGUUUUUUUCUAUUUAUUAUUAUUUUUUGAGAUGGAGUCUUGCUCUGUU
Molecule: long non-coding RNA, 327 nt
Filed under: Homo sapiens (human)
Lineage: Eukaryota; Metazoa; Chordata; Mammalia; Primates; Hominidae
Description: HSALNT0354966
Source: RNAcentral